Molecule: long non-coding RNA, 307 nt
Organism: Papaver somniferum (opium poppy)
Lineage: Eukaryota; Viridiplantae; Streptophyta; Magnoliopsida; Ranunculales; Papaveraceae
Exons: 3
Source: RefSeq, a predicted model, not a curated record
CUAGAACCCUAGAAAAAGAACAACUUAUUGGAAUAUAUUCCAAUACAACAGAACAUAAGCUUAGAGAGAUCUCCAAAGUUACGGUUUAGGGGAAGAAGAAAAGGCUGGAAACCAAUCCCUCGACAAAAAGUGUAUAGACGUUCUACGCAGAAGAACGACAGUCAGAACAAACAUGGUCGGGACAUGUUAAUUUGAUUCAUUGUCCGCUUACAGAGGUGGAAUUUUGUUGUUCUGAUUCGGAUAUGGACUAUACUGAACCUAUGCUGUUUGUGGAAAUGCUUACUUCAGAAUCAUCUUAUGAUGCAAU